Molecule: ribosomal RNA, 458 nt
Filed under: uncultured Anaerovibrio sp.
Lineage: Bacteria; Bacillati; Bacillota; Negativicutes; Selenomonadales; Selenomonadaceae
Description: partial 16S ribosomal RNA
Rfam family: Bacterial small subunit ribosomal RNA
Source: RNAcentral
ACGGGAGGCAGCAGUGGGGAAUCUUCCGCAAUGGGCGAAAGCCUGACGGAGCAACGCCGCGUGAGUGAAGAAGGUUUUCGGAUCGUAAAGCUCUGUUGUCGGGGACGAGAAAGCGCCUCAGGAAAUGGGGGCGCCAGGACGGUACCCGGCGAGAAAGCCACGGCUAACUACGUGCCAGCAGCCGCGGUAAUACGUAGGUGGCGAGCGUUGUCCGGAAUUAUUGGGCGUAAAGGGAGCGCAGGUGGGAAAGCAAGUCAGUCUUAAAAGUGCGGGGCUCAACCCCGUGAUGGGAUUGAAACUGCUUUUCUUGAGUGCAGGAGAGGAAAGCGGAAUUCCUAGUGUAGCGGUGAAAUGCGUAGAUAUUAGGAGGAACACCAGUGGCGAAGGCGGCUUUCUGGACUGUAACUGACACUGAGGCUCGAAAGCGUGGGGAGCGAACAGGAUUAGAUACCCUGGUA